This 451-nucleotide ribosomal RNA is filed under the name uncultured bacterium. RNAcentral's name for it is "partial 16S ribosomal RNA". It matches the Rfam family "Bacterial small subunit ribosomal RNA", at positions 354 to 796 of the family's 1533-position model. The record is from RNAcentral.
GUGGGGAAUAUUGGACAAUGGGGGGAACCCUGAUCCAGCCAUGCCGCGUGUGUGAAGAAGGCCUUUUGGUUGUAAAGCACUUUAAGCGAGGAGGAGGCUACCGAGAUUAAUACUCUGGGAUAGUGGACGUUACUCGCAGAAUAAGCACCGGCUAACUCUGUGCCAGCAGCCGCGGUAAUACAGAGGGUGCAAGCGUUAAUCGGAUUUACUGGGCGUAAAGCGCGCGUAGGUGGCCAAUUAAGUCAAAUGUGAAAUCCCCGAGCUUAACUUGGGAAUUGCAUUCGAUACUGGUUGGCUAGAGUAUGGGAGAGGAUGGUAGAAUUCCAGGUGUAGCGGUGAAAUGCGUAGAGAUCUGGAGGAAUACCGAUGGCGAAGGCAGCCAUCUGGCCUAAUACUGACACUGAGGUGCGAAAGCAUGGGGAGCAAACAGGAUUAGAUACCCCAGUAGUCC